GUAUGGUGGUUUCAGACUGUGUUCCGUGCUUCCUGAUCAUAGAGCUAAGAAUUUGCCUAGUGAUUGGUUGAUGCCACCACCAAUUUCACCUUAUCUCCAAACACCGCCUGCUAUGUCUAGAGAGCUGGCGCUGAAGUCUUCAUCUCAACAACAGUACAAUGGCAGGAAACCAAAAGCAGGGAACUGCAAGCUCUUUGGUAUUUCCCUUAAUAGUAGCUCCAUUCCAAUUGAGCCUGCAUUAUCAGAGUGGUUGGAGUGUCUUUGUGAGUUCCAAGAGGCUUGUUGCUGGGGAUGCCUUCAUAUUUCUAAGGUUUGGUGCAAUCUUGAUGUCUCUAUGUCUAUACAAACUUACUUUCAUGCAUGAAGUGUGAGUAAUGUGGAAUUUGUAGGGCUGAGAAUGGGGAGCUUCGAGUUGGCGUUAGACGUGCCAUGAGACAGGAAGGCAACGUUCCAUCAUCAGUCAUAUCUAGUCACAGUAUGCAUCUUGGUGUGCUGGCAACAGCUUGGCAUGCUAAUCAGACUAAAACCAUGUUCACGGUGUAUUACAAGCCCAGGUAUGUGGUUUGAAUUGUGCAUUCGUGGAGUUUACUGAUGCCAAAAUAAAACUGUCUGUUAUCAAAGAUUAAUUUGGAUGUCCAACUUCUCUCUCUCUCUCUGAAAAGAGAUGGCUACUGGCUACUGUGGGAGAUGGAACCAAACUCACCCUCCUUCAUAGCUCAUAAAAAUUGUGGAUGGUCUUUCCUUCUGUUGGUUGUUGACAACAGCCCAUUGUUAACCUUAUCGUCUCUUUUAUAAUUCCUCUGGAUGCAAUUGAAUUUUGCUACAGUAAGCAUGUGACAUUGCUGCUGUCAAAUGAGCAUAUGAUGAAUCUGUUUGAUUUUAUAGGUGCAGACUUUCACAUUUCAAUUUUUUUUUUCAAAGGUAUAUUCAAAUUUUAUUUUUGUUUGGGAAAGGUACACCUUUCAAAAAAAAAAAUUUGAAAUGCGAAAGUCUGCACCCAUAAACGUAUGCACAAUAUAUAGAAGAAAGAAAAUGAUCCGAUUAUAUUGCAUGUUUUGCUCUCUUCUAAUUGUUAUUCUCCUAUAAUGUGGCAGGACGAGCCCAGCUGAGUAUAUUGUCUCUUAUGAUCAGUACAUGGAGUCCAUGAAAAUUAAUUAUGCAAUAGGAAUGAGGUUUAAAAUGAGAUUUGAAGGUGAAGAAGCUCCAGAGCAGAGGUAGGCGGCAUGUUAGAAUCCUGAAGAAUAAACUGAACUUUUAUGGAGUAUUUGAAUAAUAGUUAUCUUCUAAUUUGAUAAUAUUACGAUUAAAUGUUAAUUCACAAAGUUUUUAGGUUUACUGGAACGAUAGUUGGUAUUGAGGAUGCUGAUCCGAAAAGAUGGCCAGAAUCAAAAUGGAGAUGUCUAAAGGUAGUUGCUCCUGUAUUUGAUGAAGCAUGUUCCCGCUUUUUAGAUCUCAUGCUGAAGUUGUAUCUCUUAAUCUAACAUUAAGGUGCGAUGGGAUGAAACUUCCUCCAUUCCUCGUCCUGAGAGGGUUUCACCCUGGGAAAUUGAACCCGCAGCUCUUAAUCCGCUUCCAGUGUCCAGGCCAAAGAGGCCUCGAUCAAACAUCUUGCCCUCAUCUCCAGACUCUUCUGUCUGUACAAGGGAAGGUAUUUUUCAAUCUGACUGAGUUUUCUUUUGGCUAAUUAUUUUUUUACUUUAUAUCCAUCUGACUCAAAUGGGUUCUAUAUAAUUUUUUCAAUGUAGCUUCAUCUAAGAUAACAGUGGACUCUUCAGCAGCCAGUGGCUUUCCUAGGGUCUUGCAAGAACAAGAGUUUUCCCCCUUGAGAAGCACUUUUCUGGAGAACCAUGAGUCAGACUCUUCUGAAAAGCAAAUAUUAUGGCGACCUUCAUUGGAUGAUGAGAAGGUUGAUUUUUCCACAACCAGAAGAUAUGGAUCAGAUAAAAGGUUUCCUCUAGGAAGGCAAGAGUCAACAGUCACUAAUCUCUCAUCAGGUUUUGGGACGCAAAUCAAUUCCUCCCAUGAUUUCUAUAUGCCUCGUGGGGAUCACGCCGGAGCUAUUGCGAAUCGUCUAAUGCUAGAGCAUGAAGGGAAAUUCAACUCAAUCAGAAACACGAGGUCUAAGAUUCAUUCUGGUCUGUCACUUAAUUUGAUGGAUUCUAACAUGAAAACUCAUGGACAAGAGGAUAUGAGGUAUGGUGGUUUCAGACAGUAUUCCGUGCUUCCUGAUCAUAGAGCUAAGAAUUUGCCUAGUGAUUGGUUGAUGCCACCACCAAUUUCACCUUAUCUCCAAACACUGCCUGCUAUGUCUAGAGAGCUGGCGCUGAAGUCUGCAUCUCAACCACAGUACAAUGGCAGGAAACCAAAAGAAGGGAACUGCAAGCUCUUUGGUAUUUCCCUUAAUAGUAGCUCCAUUCCAAUGGAGCCUGCAUUGCCACACAGAAAUGCGUCUAUUGAGCUAGCUGAUCGCAUGCUUCUUGGGGUGAACUCUCAUAAAUCCACUGCACUUGAAUCUCAUCAAAAUUCUAAAUUGGUUGAUAAUCAAGUUGCCAAUAGUGAGCAGGAGAAACAAUGUCGAACCUAUGUUCCCAUUUCUAGCAAUGGGGAAGGCAAAGGUCAUUCUGGUUCAACGAGGAGUUGCACCAAGGUUUUGAUUUGGACUUCCAUAUUCCUUUUCAAUGACACUGUUAAUUCACGUCUAAUAUAAAAUGGCAUUGCCAUCUCUCUAUUAUUUUCAUUUCAGGUUCAUAAGCAGGGUAUCGCCCUUGGAAGAUCUGUGGAUCUUGCCAAUUUCAACAACUACAACGAAUUGAUUGCUGCAUUAGACGAUCUCUUCAAAUGUAAUGGGGAACUGACUUCUCAGAAUAAGAAUUGGCUUGUGGUUUAUACUGAUGAUGAGGAUGAUAUGAUGCUUGUUGGAGAUGACCCAUGGGAGUAAGAUAUCCUUCUUGAUUCUCCCUAACAUGUUCCGAAAGUUUGGAUUAAUUUUGAUUACCAAAACUCAUUGGUAUCGUCUUCAUGUAAUUGCUUGUUUAUUGACUGUUGCCUAUCUAUCUCUGGUUAAAAACAGUGAAUUCUGUGGCAUGGUUCGGAAGAUCUUAAUUUGUACAAAAGAAGAGGUCCAGCGUAUGAACCCAGGGACGUUUAUUUCAAAUGGAGAGGAUUAUUCAUCAGUUCCGGAAGGCUUGGAUGCCAAUGAAGCAAGGGAUCUACGACGUCCUUCAACAUCAAGCCCAGAUGAUUGCUAAGUUGUCCACCUUUAUCUAGGUAGUUAUUUUAUAUAUUCAACUUUUUGAGCUACUAGGAAAAUGUAUCCUGGUACAAAUGUUAAUUUAUUCUCUUACCUGCUCCUGUUGUGCCCCAUUCUUUAAAUUUUUUUUGGGAAGUUUCAUAAGUGUGUAGAGAUAUGUAUGCCAUGCCCAUCGGGGAAGGGUUUGGGGUCAUUUCGGAGAUUUGGAGUAAAAAUGGGAAAAUUGGAUUCUGCAUAUCUUUUGAUGUCUUUUCCUUCUUCUUUGUUGGAUGGAUUCUCUCCCGUAGCUCAGUAUAUGAUUACUUAAUCUCGAAUGUUAUUGGAGGAUCUAUGAUAUCUGCUGAUAAGUAAUCUUGAUGCUAAACAGGUAUAUAUAAAUGCAUGACUUGGAGAAGACUUUUAAUGGAUCAGCUGUUGAUUUUUGGUGACAUCAGAUAGCAUAUGCUUAUUCUGCCCCUUCAACCUCUCGAUGGCUGGAUUCUCUAUGGUUGAGAUUUUCAGCAUCUGGAGUUUUAAACCGUUCCAAGGCCAAUUUAUUUCACCAUAUAGUUUAUGAUGAAAUGCGUAUCAUAUUAUGAGCAAGGCGUAGAUGCCAUAUUUUGCUUUCAAUCUUCACCUUGUACUUAUCCAACCUUUCUUUUUUUUCUCAAAGCAAGUAUUGAUGCAAGCAAGAGUUGAUAUAUAACCUGCUACGCCUCAUUUUGAUUUCUGUAGUAUUGAAUCAAGCAAGAGCGCAUAAUAUAUGUGGUGUCAUCAUUAUUUAGAUGAACUAUAGAUGGAGAGAAUAGUUCGUAUUUGUUUUGCAGAACGGUUUUUGCAGCUGCCUGGGGAGAGAUUGGUUUGAAAAGCAAUGGAUUUUGCUCGCUCAUUUCGAUUUAGUUUAGUGUUUCCGGAGUUAUAAAAGGCUCUGCUUAUUUUACAAGAUUUUUGCACCUGAAAUUCAAGGGAGCAGAAAAUGGUCAACUUUAUGAAGUUCUGGAUUCUCGUUUUCUUUUCUCAUCAUGUUUGGUCCAGAUAUUGAAUUGUAUUGAAGUUGAAAAAUAAGUUAAACUAUUGUUUAUAACUCUUUUGUCAUGUCCAACAUGAAAAAAAAUGUGAAACUUAAAAUAUAUUUCCUUGGAUAUUUUAAUGUAACAUUAUUUUUUGCUAUAUAACCAAUCUAAAAGUUAGUCUUCAAUAAUAUUUAGAGCCUGUUUGAGUCACAUUAUAAUGAGAAUGAGGAUGAGAAAUAGAGUCGUUAUGUGCUCCACACCGGAGAUAGAAAUUCAAAAAUGGUGAUUUGAUGUGAUGGAUAAUGGUCAUAUUUUUCAUUUUAAUGAGGUAAAGAUGGGGUUCAAACAGGGGCUUAAAAUAGCAAGUUGAUCAUUAUGACCAGUUCCAAUAAUAAAAAAUGUCCAAAAUAUUGUUAAGUCGUGUGGAUUUUGUAUACGCAACUUUACAAAGUUAAGUUUAACGUCUCAAUUUGGACUUGGACAAAAAACUUUGAAAAAAUACAUGUUCCUACGUGGGUUGUAUGCGAUUUAACAACAAUUAAGGCGACUUCUGUCGUGAGAUUAAUGGUGCAACUAUGGACAAGAUUGGAGAUUAAAUUGCCCUUUUUGAAACACUAAUGGUCAAGUUUCUAUUGAAACUUUAUUUUUCCUUUUCUUUUCUUUUCUUUCCGUUCCUUUUUUUUAUUUUUUAUAGUUAGUUUAAAAUGAAAAAUUGGACAUUUGAAGUUUGAGGAUUCACUUGCUAGAGCAAAUUAAUAAAGGACUUAAGUUCUAAUUUGUAAAGUUUUGAAACACAACUAUAAUUUACCUUUUAUGUUUUUUGUGGAAAUUACGGAUUCUAAUAAAUUAAAAAUCCUCAUUUCAUAAAUAAGAUGACAUGUUUAGUAUUUCACAAAUCAUAAUUUUUUAAAUUAAUUAAUGUAUUUAAAAAUUAAUUAAGUAAAACAAUUUCAAAUCUAAUUAAAUCAAUCUCAAUUCCCUCUCUCUCUCUCUGCCUUAAACACCGCCGUCGAAUAUCUCUCCCACAAAUCGACCAUCUCUAGACAAGCGUUCACCGAAAGAUCACGAUCAUAAAUCCACUGCACUUGAAUCUCAUCAAAAUUCUAAAUUGGUUGAUAAUCAAGUUGCCAAUAGUGAGCAGGAGAAACAAUGUCAAACCUAUCUUCCCAUUUCUAGCAAUGGGGAAGGCAAAGGUCAUUCUGAUUCAACGAGGAGUUGCACCAAGGUUUUGAUUUGGACUUCCAUAUUCCUUUUCAAUGACACUGUUAAUUCACAUCUAAUAUAAAACGGCAU
Molecule: long non-coding RNA, 5535 nt
Filed under: Olea europaea (common olive)
Lineage: Eukaryota; Viridiplantae; Streptophyta; Magnoliopsida; Lamiales; Oleaceae
Description: long non-coding RNA (OEUR_LNC004585)
Source: RNAcentral